Molecule: ribosomal RNA, 933 nt
Filed under: Triticum aestivum (bread wheat)
Lineage: Eukaryota; Viridiplantae; Streptophyta; Magnoliopsida; Poales; Poaceae
Description: partial small subunit ribosomal RNA
Source: RNAcentral
AUGGACAUGCCGGGGGAGGACGAGUACGUCUACGGCUACGAGUACGAGUUCGACUUGGAGAACCCCUUCACGAGCCCCGCCGACGAGCCGAUCGCCAGCCUCCUCGACGCCGAGGCCCACCACGCGCCCUCCGUGUCCGCCGCCGCCUCCGCCGUCCGCCGCGACGCCGCCCGAUUCAUCUCCAAGGUGCGGUACGACGGGGAGCUCGCCGUGCACCCGCGGGUGGCCUACCUCGCGCUGAACUACGUGGAUCGCUUCCUCUCCAAGGGCCAAUUGCCGUUCGAGCGCAAGCCAUGGGCGCCGCGGCUGCUCGCCAUCAGCUGCCUCUCCAUCGCCGCCAAGAUGCAGCGCGUCGACGCAAUCUCCAUGGACUACAUCCAAAGGGACGAGGAGUUCAUGUUCGACGCGGCGACCAUCCGGCGCAUGGAGCGGGUGGUGCUGGGCGCGCUGGAGUGGCGCGCGCGCUCCGUGACGCCGCUCGCCUUCCUCGGCUUCUUCCUCUCGGCGUGCUUCCCUCCGCCGCGGCACCCGGCCCUGCUGGACGCCGUCAAGGAGCGCGCCGUCGACCUCCUCCUCCGUGCCCAGCCCGAGGUGAAGAUGGCGGAGUUCUCGCCGUCCGUGGUGGCCGCGUCGGCGCUGCUGGCCGCCGCCGGAGAGAUCGCCGUCGCCCACCUCCCCGCCUUCCAAGCCGCCGUGGCCGCUUGCCCCUUUGAGAAGCUACGGGAGUGCGGCGAGGUGAUGGCGGCGGUCUGCGGUGUGGUCGGCGUCGGCGUCGGACCGGCGGCGAGCGCCGAGACGCCGGUGACGGUCCUCGGGCACGGCCACUACCGCAGCGCCAGCUCGGAGAGCGACCGGACCGUCGGAUCGGCAGCCAACGUCGCCGAUGCCAAGAAGCGAUGCAUGGGCCCACCUUCCCAGUCCCAGUGGGGGUAA